RNAcentral lists this ribosomal RNA (405 nucleotides) under uncultured bacterium. RNAcentral's name for it is "bacterial SSU rRNA". It matches the Rfam family "Bacterial small subunit ribosomal RNA", at positions 355 to 777 of the family's 1533-position model. The record is from RNAcentral.
UGGGGAAUAUUGCACAAUGGGGGAAACCCUGAUGCAGCGACGCCGCGUGAGUGAAGAAGUAUUUCGGUAUGUAAAGCUCUAUCAGCAGGAAAGAAAAUGACGGUACCUGACUAAGAAGCCCCGGCUAACUACGUGCCAGCAGCCGCGGUAAUACGUAGGGGGCAAGCGUUAUCCGGAUUUACUGGGUGUAAAGGGAGCGUAGACGGUUAUGCAAGUCUGAAGUGAAAUGCGGGGGCUCAACCCCUGAACUGCUUUGGAAACUGUAAAACUGGAGUGCAGGAGAGGUAAGUGGAAUUCCUAGUGUAGCGGUGAAAUGCGUAGAUAUUAGGAGGAACACCAGUGGCGAAGGCGGCUUACUGGACUGUAACUGACGUUGAGGCUCGAAAGCGUGGGGAGCAAACAGGA